CCUACGGGUGGCAGCAGUGGGGAAUAUUGCACAAUGGGGGAAACCCUGAUGCAGCGACGCCGCGUGAGCGAUGAAGUAUUUAGGUAUGUAAAGCUCUAUCAGCAGGGAAGAAGAAGACGGUACCUGACUAAGAAGCACCGGCUAACUACGUGCCAGCAGCCGCGGUAAUACGUAGGGGGCAAGCGUUAUCCGGAUUUACUGGGUGUAAAGGGAGCGUAGACGGCGGUGCAAGCCAGAUGUGAAAGCCCGGGGCUCAACCCCGGGACUGCAUUUGGAACUGUAUGGCUGGAGUGUCGGAGAGGCAGGCGGAAUUCGUAGUGUAGCGGUGAAAUGCGUAGAUAUUAGGAGGAACGCCAGUGGCGAAGGCGGCCUGCUGGACGAUGACUGACGUUGAGGCUCGAAAGCGUGGGGAGCAAACAGGAGUAGAUACCCUUGUAGUC
RNAcentral lists this ribosomal RNA (440 nucleotides) under uncultured bacterium. Its description in RNAcentral is "partial 16S ribosomal RNA". It matches the Rfam family "Bacterial small subunit ribosomal RNA", at positions 338 to 795 of the family's 1533-position model. The record is from RNAcentral.